GACGAACGCUGGCGGCGUGCUUAACACAUGCAAGUCGAACGGAAAGGCCCUGCUUUUGUGGGGUGCUCGAGUGGCGAACGGGUGAGUAACACGUGAGUAACCUGCCCUUGACUUUGGGAUAACUUCAGGAAACUGGGGCUAAUACCGGAUAGGAGCUCCUGCUGCAUGGUGGGGGUUGGAAAGUUUCGGCGGUUGGGGAUGGACUCGCGGCUUAUCAGCUUGUUGGUGGGGUAGUGGCUUACCAAGGCUUUGACGGGUAGCCGGCCUGAGAGGGUGACCGGCCACAUUGGGACUGAGAUACGGCCCAGACUCCUACGGGAGGCAGCAGUGGGGAAUAUUGCACAAUGGGCGGAAGCCUGAUGCAGCAACGCCGCGUGCGGGAUGACGGCCUUCGGGUUGUAAACCGCUUCCGCCUGUGACGAAGCGUGAGUGACGGUAAUGGGUAAAGAAGCACCGGCUAACUACGUGCCAGCAGCCGCGGUGAUACGUAGGGUGCGAGCGUUGUCCGGAUUUAUUGGGCGUAAAGGGCUCGUAGGUGGUUGAUCGCGUCGGAAGUGUAAUCUUGGGGCUUAACCCUGAGCGUGCUUUCGAUACGGGUUGACUUGAGGAAGGUAGGGGAGAAUGGAAUUCCUGGUGGAGCGGUGGAAUGCGCAGAUAUCAGGAGGAACACCAGUGGCGAAGGCGGUUCUCUGGGCCUUUCCUGACGCUGAGGAGCGAAAGCGUGGGGAGCGAACAGGCUUAGAUACCCUGGUAGUCCACGCUGUAAACGGUGGGUACUAGGUGUGGGGUCCAUUCCACGGGUUCCGUGCCGUAGCUAACGCUUUAAGUACCCCGCCUGGGGAGUACGGCCGCAAGGCUAAAACUCAAAGGAAUUGACGGGGCCCCGCACAAGCGGCGGAGCAUGCGGAUUAAUUCGAUGCAACGCGUAGAACCUUACCUGGGUUUGACAUGUAUCGGGAGUGCUCAGAGAUGGGUGUGCCUCUUUUGGGGUCGGUUCACAGGUGGUGCAUGGCUGUCGUCAGCUCGUGUCGUGAGAUGUUGGGUUAAGUCCCGCAACGAGCGCAACCCUUGUUCACUGUUGCCAGCACGUUAUGGUGGGGACUCAGUGGAGACCGCCGGGGUCAACUCGGAGGAAGGUGGGGAUGACGUCAAGUCAUCAUGCCCCUUAUGUCCAGGGCUUCACGCAUGCUACAAUGGCUGGUACAGAGAGUGGCGAGCCUGUGAGGGUGAGCGAAUCUCGGAAAGCCGGUCUCAGUUCGGAUUGGGGUCUGCAACUCGACCUCAUGAAGUCGGAGUCGCUAGUAAUCGCAGAUCAGCAACGCUGCGGUGAAUACGUUCCCGGG
RNAcentral lists this ribosomal RNA (1343 nucleotides) under uncultured bacterium. RNAcentral's name for it is "16S ribosomal RNA". It matches the Rfam family "Bacterial small subunit ribosomal RNA", at positions 28 to 1378 of the family's 1533-position model. The record is from RNAcentral.